ACCAGUAACGACCAGUUUAAACCAGUGAGGACCAUUUAAACCAGUAACAGCUCCCAGUGCCACCAGUCUGAGGACACUGGUGACACCAGUAUGAGCCUCCCGGUGCUCCCAGUGCUCCCAGUAACAGCUCCCAGUGCUCCCAGUGCCCCCAGUUACAGCUCCCACUUCCACCAGUAAGAGCUGCCGGUCCUCCCAGUCCUCCCAGUGCUCCCAGUGCCAGCUCCCAG
Molecule: long non-coding RNA, 227 nt
Organism: Poecile atricapillus (Black-capped chickadee)
Lineage: Eukaryota; Metazoa; Chordata; Aves; Passeriformes; Paridae
Exons: 3
Source: RefSeq, a predicted model, not a curated record